GACGAACGCUGGCGGCGUGCUUAACACAUGCAAGUCGAACGAAGAGCGAUGGAAGCUUGCUUCUAUCAAUCUUAGUGGCGAACGGGUGAGUAACGCGUAAUCAACCUGCCCUUCAGAGGGGGACAACAGUUGGAAACGACUGCUAAUACCGCAUACGAUCUAAUCUCGGCAUCGAGGAUAGAUGAAAGGUGGCCUCUACAUGUAAGCUAUCACUGAAGGAGGGGAUUGCGUCUGAUUAGCUAGUUGGAGGGGUAACGGCCCACCAAGGCGAUGAUCAGUGGCCGGUCUGAGAGGAUGAACGGCCACAUUGGGACUGAGACACGGCCCAGACUCCUACGGGAGGCAGCAGUGGGGAAUCUUCCGCAAUGGACGAAAGUCUGACGGAGCAACGCCGCGGGAGUGAUGACGGCCUUCGGGUUGUAAAGCUCUGUUAAUCGGGACGAAAGGCCUUCUUGCGAAUAGGGAGAAGGAUUGACGGUACCGGAAUAGAAAGCCACGGCUAACUACGUG
This 510-nucleotide ribosomal RNA is filed under the name uncultured bacterium. RNAcentral describes it as "partial 16S ribosomal RNA". It matches the Rfam family "Bacterial small subunit ribosomal RNA", at positions 28 to 507 of the family's 1533-position model. The record is from RNAcentral.